AACGAACGCUGGCGGCAGGCCUAACACAUGCAAGUCGAGCGCUUCCUUCGGGAAGAGCGGCGGACGGGUUAGUAACGCGUGGGAACGUGCCUCUCUCUACGGAAUAGCCAUUGGAAACGAUGAAUAAUACCGUAUACGCCCUUCGGGGAAAGAUUUAUCGGAGAAGGAUCGGCCCGCGUUAGAUUAGAUAGUUGGUGGGGUAACGGCCUACCAAGUCUACGAUCUAUAGCUGGUUUUAGAGGAUGAUCAGCAACACUGGGACUGAGACACGGCCCAGACUCCUACGGGAGGCAGCAGUGGGGAAUCUUAGACAAUGGGCGCAAGCCUGAUCUAGCCAUGCCGCGUGAGUGAUGAAGGCCCUAGGGUCUAAAGCUCUUUCGCCAGGGAUGAUAGUGACAGUACCUGGUAAAGACCCCGG
This 418-nucleotide ribosomal RNA is filed under the name uncultured bacterium. Its description in RNAcentral is "bacterial SSU rRNA". It matches the Rfam family "Bacterial small subunit ribosomal RNA", at positions 29 to 496 of the family's 1533-position model. The record is from RNAcentral.